UACAGUUUGGUUUAGUUUUUCUGUUUCCUUCUUGUAACCCUGUUGAUCGGCCACACCUGUGAUUCAUUAGUCCCACCAAUGUCCACUUCUGUCACUUCAUGAUCAGGUUCUGCUUGUUCUUUCCAAGUCAUACUGGAUAAUUCACUUCUAAUGUUCCAGCCUUUGAGCUCUGUACCAAUUAACUUGAAUUGUUAGUCAUUUUUUCCUAAUUUCCGUCUCUUAAAUUCCGCUUUAAACAUCUUUUCUUCUUUGCGUCAUGCCUGCAAUUGUUUCCUCAAAUUUCCGUCAUUAUCCUAGAGACUUAACUUCUGUGACAUAACUUUGUCGAAUAAGUGGACAACAAAUAGAACACAUCACAAGGACAUAAAGUGCACAUUAAAUCAAACACAACAGCAUAGAGGGUGGGAGAACAGAAUGAUGAUUCAAAAGAACAAGAGAAGAAAUCCACAGACUGUCAUGUUAGUAUGCUGCAGCCGGAACAGAGGGGUCAGGGAGGUGUAGCCAAUAGUUUUGACAGCCACUAUGUGACCGAGUGCAAAUAAACAGGAAGUGACCUUGAGCGUUUUACAAACUUCAGCCCACAGAACUUCUCUUACCGCAGGUUUCUUCAUAAGCUACACCUGUAUUCAUGAGCAUCUGGCUGAGUCUGACCUCCAGGAGGAAAAUUCCAUUUGCUGCUGUUGCCUGUGUCGUACAUUUGCUUUUGGGGCAUUUUGAUGGGAUAAACAAGCAGAUGCCCUCCUGUAAAUGUGUCAGAGGUGUAGUGGCAAGAGAGCACAGGGAUUGUUGUGGCAUAGGUCCCAGUUACUGUCACACUAACCAACUGUCUGAGCGCACACAGGUCAGGCCGCAGCUGACGGAAGCUUUAAGGCCACACGUACAGGAGACGACAGCUCAGAGGUUACAGGGAGACAUGUUGACUCGCUGAACAUUCAAACUAAAGUGCUGGCUUUUCAAAAACAUCCUCAGGUCAGUGUACUGCCCUCGGAGAGCAACAGCAGCGAGACAGUGGGCCAUGUCUGAAGGACAGCAGGACGAGCUGGAGGGGGGCAGAGUUGAAGAUGCUGAAAUUUUCAGUGGGAGAGAGCAGAUGGAACCCAGCUCUGUCCCCCCCUCCCUUGUGUGUGAGACCUUGAGUGAAUGGACACUUCUCUGGUUGAGGCUGCAGACAGCAGUGACAACAAUGUGGGCCCAGUGACACGACAUCCAGUCCCUCUCUAAUUACGGUUCUACGUAGAGAGUCGCAGCUCCAGAGGCCUGAGGUCUGUCCACCCAGCUGGGAACCAAGUGACACGUACAUAUUUUUGCUUCAACACAUUUAUCAUCAGCAGAGGGACGCAGCGGCACAAAACAAGGUGAGAACUUGUUGAUACUGCACCUGCCAACUGGGACAUUGCUGCCUGUGUGAUGUUUCCUGUGUCCCAGCAGAGGGAGGAAAGGACAGCUGGAAAGUGUACAAACAAAAUGUUGGCUAAACGAGGUGAAAUGUUGGCGUCUGUUAAUAAUUUCAAAAAAGGUGUAGGAGAGUGGAGAAGUAAAGGUAUACAUUGGAGAGAAGGCAGACAGAAUACGUCAGGAAGUGAUGGUAAGGUGAAGAUUAAAGGUGUGGAGGAGGUGGAGACCAACGGGGGUAAAGGAGAGGUCAACCAUCAACAGACAUACACUACAGAGGGGAUGAAUAGGCAGCAGGCAGGGUCGAGUGGGUGGAGACAAGUGUCAGGAGUUGAUGUGUGACAGACAAGGAAUUCUGCAAGAGUGCAAAAGUGAUCUUGAAAAAAUAGAAGUGAAACCUGCAGUGGUCUAAAACUCCUGGCUUGGGACCACUUCUGGCCCAUUAACCCCCAACAGCCAGGCUGCAAAUUGAUGUAGAUAAUUACAUCAAUCCAAUUUUGCCCAUGAGUUACUUUUUUUCACUAAUUUAAUUUCAAUUGUUUUUUUUGUGAGGUAGUACAGAAAUAAAAGGAAUUAGCUUAAAAAUUAAGAGCAAGAAAGAGGGUCUAGUCUUGAUGUGGGCUGAGCAGAAAGGCUAUUGAUUAAGGUUAUGAGGUUAUAUAAAGGGAGAUGAUUAGCCACAGCGCCCCUUGUGGGCAGCAGUGGAGAGGCAAGCAAUCAGAUGGAUGAGUGUGGUAUUUUCAUGCAAUAUUUAUUUUCUUCUUGACAUUUUGGAUGUCUCUCAAGGAUAAAAAGAUCAAUUCACAUAACAACACUUAGACUGCGUGCUCUGUUAACAAUAUGUUGAUGAGUAAUUUUCAGGCACUGUCAUCAGAAAGCACUGUUCUAAUUAUCCCACAAGCAGCUUCACAAAAUCAUCAGGACAAAAUUAGACUGAAUAAUCAGUAAAAACCUUUGUAAAAUGUCAGAGUGAAGGGAAUCCUUAUAAGUAUUUUAAUUGGACCAAAGCAUUGAAAGCAUAACAAAAUUGUUGCAUUUUGGGAACUUAAACAUACACAGCAACUUAUAUAUAACAUUCCUAAAAUUAUUAAAAAGAAAAAGUUGAAGCCAGGGUUUAGAGCUAUCCUAAACACUGAAUUCAGUGUUCUGUACAUCGGCUCAGUAUGAGCGGAAAAGUUACUUUACUGACCUCAAGGUCAGCUUCUUUGAUUUAAUUUGUCAAUUUUAAUAAAAAGUCAAAUCUUGUUGUAUAUUUCUGGAAUUUACCAAACAACCCAUGACUGACUUGAAAUAUAAUUGGUGAAAUGACAUUUGUUGAUGAAGUUUUUCACAAUUUUUUCUCAUCUCAAGCAGAUUUCACACUGACACUACUGAAAGGGAAAACUCUUGUUAAUGGUUCCUUGAUUAGCACCACCUAGUGGUCAUGGUUUUGACUGCAGUGCACUGGAGUUUGCAUGUUCUUCGUGUGUGUUUGUAGGUUUUCUCUCCAUACACUUUGUCUCCAUACAUGGUCAUGUGAUGUACUGGCUGUACCCCACCCUCACCAAUUGACAGCUUGGCUCCAGUGCUGAUCUCCAGCGACUCUGCAGAGGAAUAUGCCGUAGAUUAUUGAUGGAUCACUUGUGCAGUUUUCCCUCUGUUUAAAUGAAGCAGCAUCUUCUAAGCUCAUGAUAAACUAUAAAACAUUCAGAGUUGUGUCACAGUGUACUGGCCAGAAGCCUGGGUCACAGUGUGUGAGUCAGCACCAACAUGCACAGGUGGUGUUGUGAUCCAGUCAGUGCUGCCGACAGCCCCUGUUAUUCUUUGUCUCUUGCUGUGAACAUUCUGGAAACAUGGCCAAAACACAAUGGAACCUGUUUAACAAACCAACAAUCCAUUUUAACCUCCACGCUGAAUCCGAAUAAAGUAUCAAAUUGUAUUGGGGCAGAGAAAAAAAAAGGCAGCUGACAUACUCAAGUGUUAUUUGAUGCAUUUCAGUAGCAACAAAUCAACAGUGGAGUGUGUGCAGGCUGGGGCUCUUAGUAGCCAUCAAUAGCAAUUGCCGAGGAACUCAGUGUGAAAAUUAUUGAAUUAAACCGAGGGCCUCGAAAAGACCAAAUGCCUCGACCGUCCGCUUGUAUCGAUCGUUUGUCAACAAUAGAGAGUGUUGACAUUUACACAAGUUUGAUUCACUUCAUUGUUGCAGAUGUAUGAAUUUAUGGCUCCCUGUUGGGAGUCUGUUCAGCAGCACAGUGCAGGGGAGGAGGCACACAUUUGCCGUGUUGAUGUUUAAAGGGUAAUUGCGCUGAUGAAUAUUAAUCUCUUUUCAUACCUCGAUGUAUAAAAGCUGCUGUCAGCGACAUUAUCUGUGGGCUAACUUCUCUGUGUUGCUGUGUUUGGCUGUACAGCACAUUUCUUUUCUGAAUCACUUAUAUCCAAUCAGCAAGGCUGUGCAAAUGUAUCAGGUGAAAUAUGGUUCCUAAUAAUGGCCCUUCAUCAUGUUGACGGUUCUUGUAAGUUAAUGCUAACCUUUGGCUAAAUUUUAGUCUUUGUUGCAAACUAUGGUUAUUGGUUAAUUACCUAAGUUAACUUUAUCAUGUGCGUGUUUCAUCUUCAUUAUUGUUGAUAUGUGUACUUCUUCAUUUGUAGCUAUUUUGGUGAUGCUAGCUUAUCUGAAACCAUUAAAAUAAAAACAGUUUUAAUUACAAUUUGAAUCAUCUCUUGGCUAGUGUUUAGGUAACACUUGUCCAAAUUAGAGACUUUUUUUUUAUGUUUCUUUGCUACAUCUUCAUAACCUCAGUAUUUUUUGUGGCUAACUUGUAGCUAUCGGUCAACUAACUGUCUAACUAUUGUCUCUUUUUUCUGCACUACCUUUUCUUUAGAGUUUAUUUCUGGGCUACAUUUUAGUUUGUCUAAAUGUUUGCUAUUUGGACUUAA
Cynoglossus semilaevis (tongue sole) is the source of this 4308-nucleotide long non-coding RNA. RefSeq lists it as uncharacterized. The record is from RefSeq and is a predicted model, not a curated record. The transcript has 3 exons. Lineage: Eukaryota; Metazoa; Chordata; Actinopteri; Pleuronectiformes; Cynoglossidae.